CUAUUCAUCAUGUUUACUGUUAUAUUCGUGUUUCUGUGGCUUUCACUAGGUGACUCCAUGGCAGAUUCAAUAGAGCCAGUUUUCCCUCAUAAUGUUGUACAUGAAGGUGAAAAUGUUACUCUGUCUUGCAAAUACAAAUUCAGCGGAGUUUCAGUAACACUGCACUGGUACAGACAAUAUCCAACAUCUAACCCUGAGUUCCUUCUUUAUAUUGAUACAAGUGGGUAUAAAAGUGACCCAAUCCCACCACGUCUGAACGCUCAUGUUGAUAAAAACAUGCAACGAGUGGAUCUGAUCAUCUCCUCUGCUGCUGUAUCAGACUCUGCUCUAUACUACUGUGCUCUGAGGCCCACAGUGACAGGAAAUCCAGCUGCACUGUAC
Non-coding RNA from Hemibagrus wyckioides, 381 nucleotides. Lineage: Eukaryota; Metazoa; Chordata; Actinopteri; Siluriformes; Bagridae. The record is from the annotation of a RefSeq genome assembly.